CCAAGAUGGCGGUUAAAGGGGUGCAGGUGCCCGUCUCGGUGGGAUAUCACAUAACGGACUAUUUUAAUCUGAUUUUUGAUGUUUGGCAGCAAAACAGUGAAUCUGUGACUAUGGUGUGAUAAGACUGAUCACACACACCAGGUGAUCUCUAACAAAAUCCUGUGACAAGUGACCUGCAAUUAAAACUAUGGAGCAUCUGUCAUAUUACUUCUAUAACCAGGCAGGCUACCAGACUGCUCACAAGCGGUACAGGAAGCUACCGGAAGACCUUCCGGAGAGUCUGAAAUUUGCUCACCUCAAUCCCAAAGUUGCUGCCUACCUGGCCAACAAAGAGAAGCAGAAGCAUGAGGAAGACCUGUUUGGUGAUGGCAUGGGCAAGAAGAGUCUGAUGCCAGAGAUCAACCAGGCCUUCCAGCACAUCAAGAACCGUCUGGACAGCUCCUUACUCAACGAUGAGGACUCGCAACGCUACCUCUUUGAAGAGGCCAAGUCAUCAGCCAUAAACAUCCUUCAGCAGCUGGCACGAAUUAUCUAUUACUACGAGGACAUUGCCAGCUGCAUUCCCAGAAGUCUGGAGUACCAGCUUAUGACUGGUUACAGAGAGCUGACGGCAGACGUGAUCUUUGUUCCAAGAGAGUGGCAGACACUGGCCUCCAGAGAACAGUUCCUGCGGAGUCUGGCAGAACAAGGGAGUGAUGAGGACAGGAACUUUGUUGAUGAUGGUGAUGGCAAGACUUCAAGGUUAGAGGUUAAUGUGAAGCCUAAGAAGAAAUCCUCGAAGUUAGGUCUUCCAGAAAUCACUGAAAUGGAAGAAACAGGUCGGAAUACGGGACGCCGAAGUGAUAGCAAGACGUCUCCAGUUUCCCGCGCUCGCAGUCAAGGCCGAGGUAAAAAUGCUUUAGGAAUGGAUAGAAUUUCAGUCUGUGGCUCUGUGCGGUCUCCGGGGAUGAAGCGAGGUCAUGGAGAUGACUUGAUGUCUGCUCUCACUGAAACACCAUCAGAAGUCAGAUCCAUAAUGGGCGUGUCCGGUUACUACAUGUCAAUCAUUCAGUUCCAGUUGUCAUCGAAACAGUGUGAAGAAAAAGGAUGGAUAGUACAGAAAGGCCAUGAGAACGAGAUUGCCAGAGACACGUUACUGGAAUGGUGUGUCCACAGACUGCAGCAGAGCAUGAAGACCACAAAACAACAGCAGCUCCAUGACAAACAAAAUGGCUUAGACAAACCAGUUCAAGUUCGUUACUAUGGUGAUACGAGAAAAGAGACAUUGUUAAAAUACCGUAAAUCCCCUGUGAAACAGAUGCCAAACCCAGCACUAAAAGGACAGAAACCACGAAUACCCCGCAUGUAUAAUGAUGACAGAGACGAAGGGAAGGCAUUGUGUGUGACUUCCCACCUCGAUGGGACGUCUGUUGUAUAUUAUCCCUCCGGUCGAGUGGCUAUCAUUUCUAGUGCUGCGGGGUUUGGUCGUCCUGGUUACUACUUGCUGGCAUAUGAUGAUGAUCAGGAGAUGAGGAUGCUAGCAUGUUUUACUCCAAGUGGAAAGGGCUGCGUUUACCACAACAACGGGAUCAUCAGGUUCCUGGCCACACACAAAGGUGGACACGUAGCAGAUGAAGAGGGAAGCAUCACUCAGAGGUGGAAGUGGCCAUAUGGAAAUAUCAAAAUUACAAACCCGGUCUCAUUUCAGAUCAACAGCUCGCUGGUGUUUCGGUGCAUGACUCAGUCUCAGAUGGUUGUUUCGUUCAGCUGUAAGCGAGAAACCUGCAAGUUUGUUGUGGGACCCGUGGCUGGUGCUGUUGAACCCAAAUAUGGAGAUGAAAAUGAACAACUCCUGACAGCAUUUACGUUUUCUUCCCUAGCUGCCAAAGAACUUUUGAAUUUGUUUAGUCCUAAAACAAAGUCGAAGUCCAAAUCAAAGAAGAAGCUUGACCGGUACAAGGGUCAGUUGGCCGAGCUUCAGAAGAUGUACGAGUACCAGGAGAAAGCUCUGUAUGACACAGAUGCCGACAAGGAUCUCGCUCGACUACAGAGAAAAGCCAGAAAUCUGGUGGAUGAUUGGAUGGAACACUAUCGUAUAACAGUUGGCUUGAGUUCUCCAAGUCUGAACAUGAUGUCAGAUUCUCCAAGAAUGAGGGUUCGAUACUCACAGUCCGCUAAACUCUCGGAUGAUAAAUUCAACCGCCAGGCCUCUCUUGGUAUUUCCAGCGCCGAAGAGACCAAAACAAGAGCUCUGCGGGCACCUUCAGCUCCUGCAGAUCCAGGGAAACGUGCUAAGACACGUUCUGCUCGCCAGAGGGAGUCUCCAUCUCGACGCAGUAUGACAGCCUCUGUCAAGUUUGACCACUCGGCCGACACGGUCACUGCAGGGGGUGAGGCUGACCCUCACACGCCCACCACCCCUUCAGCCGGCGCCAUCAUGAACCGAUUAGUGGAAGCUGCUACAAAAUCUAAUUCCACGAGAAGUCACAGCAAGAGUCCUACUCGUCAGGCCACGUUUACGUCAUCGCCGCCCGAACGUGUUCUGUCAAACAUCGGUGCAUGCCCCAGUGCAAUCCGACAGAUGCUGCUGGGACAUGACAAACCUCAGUGUCACUGCAGUCGCCACGUGGUCACCUACAUCACUGACGUCGAAUUUGAUGAGUUUAUGCAGAAACACGCAUUAGAGGGACAACUUCAGAUUGUUGCCGUUGUUUCAUCUCUCUUUCCGAAGGUCCUCAGUGCUGAAGACAUGCUGGACGAGCUGUAUGUGAAGAUGAACCGAAACCGGACGAGACCGUGUCUGCAGUGUCGCACCGACAUGUACCGGAUACUGAAGUACGACAUCAACAGUGCUGCGGACAACACCAACCACACACAGCCGCUACUGCUUACCAGGCACAACGUCGUACCCGGCAUGUUCCUCAUCUACUGUGAUGGCAGACUGUUAUUCUGUGAUCACAUCUUCAACGGUUAUGGCAAUACAAAGAAGGAUUUCAAAAAACAGAUCAUGAACUCAAGAAAAGAUUUUCAACAAGGCUUUAGUCUUCCCAAAGACUUCAAAUUCAGUCCCAGUCGAGGCUGCCAUGGUCCUAGGUCAGCGUGGGGUGGUGAGAUAGGCGGAACUGGUAUAGAUCACCACGGUAACCCCGGUACCUCCCUACGAACGAGAGUUCCAUCAGACUGCAGCAGCAAUAAGGCGACAAUGGCACCGAUGAUAGACCAAGUCAAGAAGCCGCAACUUUGAUAUAGCACCUUAAAUAACUUUAUGCAUGUAUGAUAAAUCAACUCCCAGACCUCUGUAACAUCUCAUAGAUUACAGGGUAUUAGACAGCGUCAACAGCUUUCUCAACAUGAGUCUUACUCCCACCAUCUAC
RNAcentral lists this unclassified non-coding RNA (3353 nucleotides) under Gigantopelta aegis. Its description in RNAcentral is "uncharacterized LOC121369160, transcript variant X1". The record is from RNAcentral. Lineage: Eukaryota; Metazoa; Mollusca; Gastropoda; Neomphalida; Peltospiridae.